GCCCGCAUGGGUCAGUGGUUGAGCAUCUACCUAUGAACUAGAAGGUCAUGGGUUCGAUUCCCAGUCAGGGCA
Molecule: transfer RNA, 72 nt
Filed under: Myotis myotis
Lineage: Eukaryota; Metazoa; Chordata; Mammalia; Chiroptera; Vespertilionidae
Also listed under: 1 other name
Rfam family: tRNA
About the family: Transfer RNA (tRNA) molecules are approximately 80 nucleotides in length. Their secondary structure includes four short double-helical elements and three loops (D, anti-codon, and T loops).
Source: Rfam by way of RNAcentral